CCAGUGAGUCACUUGAUUUCCUGCUGCCUGCAAACUGUAGGACUCUCAGUGUCAGCACACCUGCCUGCAUGCUCCCAUGCUCCCUGCCAUAAUGAUAACUGACUGAACCUCUGAAACAAUUCUAUCAAAGGAUUUACUCAUCAUCAGAAGAAAACUUGGAGCUUGGUUACUUUCUUCCCCUUUCUUCAGUUGGAUCGGUUUUUACGUUGAGUCACAUCAUGAUGUAGAACUCUCAGCUACUACCCCAGCACCAUGUCUGCCUGCACACUGCCAUGUUCCCGUCAGGAUGAUAAUGGACUAAACCUGGAACUGUAGACAGGAUCUCACUAUGUAGUACCUGGAUGUCCUGGAAUACACAAGAUUUUUUUAUCAAAGGUGAGGGAGGAGGAGCAAGACCAAGAGACUCUUGGUUCUUAGCCUACAGCUUGGGAAGUCCAAAAGAACAGUACCAGCAUCUGUUCAGCCUUUUGUGGGGAUCCUGUAACCCUCAACUCGUGGCAGAAAGUCAAGGGCAAGGGUGGGUUUGGGAGACAAAACAUGAUGGGAAUUAUCCUGAACAGAAAAGCAAAUGCAUGCUAACUAGUCCCAUAUCUUACAAAAGUAAGAGUUCACUUGGGGGCAGCUCCCUUGAUUCAAAUGCUUCUUAGAGGAUUCACCACCUCUCAGCACCAUUCUAUUGGGUGGGAAUCAAGCCUCAACAUCAGCUUCAGACCACUACAUGUGGAUACGCCAAGGUAUAACCCAUGUAUAUAUUCAGGGGCACUUUGUGUGGCC
Molecule: long non-coding RNA, 774 nt
Filed under: Cricetulus griseus (Chinese hamster)
Lineage: Eukaryota; Metazoa; Chordata; Mammalia; Rodentia; Cricetidae
Description: lncRNA (ENSCGRG00015041022.1)
Source: RNAcentral